RNAcentral lists this ribosomal RNA (254 nucleotides) under uncultured prokaryote. RNAcentral's name for it is "partial 16S ribosomal RNA". It matches the Rfam family "Bacterial small subunit ribosomal RNA", at positions 525 to 777 of the family's 1533-position model. The record is from RNAcentral.
ACAGAGGGUGCGAGCGUUGUUCGGAAUUACUGGGCGUAAAGCGCGCGCAGGCGGCUUUUUAAGUCUGCUGGUGAAAUGCCGGGGCUCAACCCCGUGCCCGCCACAGAUACUGGGAAGCUGGAGACGAGUAGAGGCAAGCGGAAUUCCGGGUGUAGCGGUGGAAUGCGUAGAGAUCCGGAGGAACACCGAUGGCAAAGGCAGGUCUCUGGGCCAUUACUGACACUGAGAAGCGAAAGCAUGGGGAGCGAACAGGA